GACGAACGCUGGCGGCGUGCUUAACACAUGCAAGUCGAGCGGUAAGGCCCUUUCGGGGGUACACGAGCGGCGAACGGGUGAGUAACACGUGGGUGACCUGCCCUCAGCUCUGGGAUAAGCCUGGGAAACCGGGUCUAAUACUGGAUAUGACUCCAUGACGCAUGUUGUGGGGUGGAAAGCCUUGUGCGGCUGAGGAUGGGCCCGCGGCCUAUCAGCUUGUUGGUGGGGUGANGGCCUACCAAGGCGACGACGGGUAGCCGGCCUGAGAGGGCGACCGGCCACACUGGGACUGAGACACGGCCCAGACUCCUACGGGAGGCAGCAGUGGGGAAUAUUGGACAAUGGGCGAAAGCCUGAUCCAGCCAUGCCGCGUGGAUGAAGAAGGCCCUAGGGUUGUAAACCUCUUUGUCGGGGAAGAAACGCUCCGGGCUAAUACCCCGGAGUAAUGACGGUACCCGAAGAAUAAGCACCGGCUAACUACGUGCCAGCAGCCGCAGUAAG
This 501-nucleotide ribosomal RNA is filed under the name uncultured bacterium. RNAcentral describes it as "bacterial SSU rRNA". It matches the Rfam family "Bacterial small subunit ribosomal RNA", at positions 28 to 524 of the family's 1533-position model. The record is from RNAcentral.